RNAcentral lists this ribosomal RNA (430 nucleotides) under Pseudomonadota bacterium. Its description in RNAcentral is "Proteobacteria bacterium partial 16S ribosomal RNA". It matches the Rfam family "Bacterial small subunit ribosomal RNA", at positions 355 to 776 of the family's 1533-position model. The record is from RNAcentral. Lineage: Bacteria; Pseudomonadati; Pseudomonadota.
UGGGGAAUAUUGGACAAUGGGGGGAACCCUGAUCCAGCCAUGUCGCGUGUGUGAAGAAGGCCUUAUGGUUGUAAAGCACUUUAAGCGAGGAGGAGGCUCUUUUGGUUAAUACCCAAGAUGAGUGGACGUUACUCGCAGAAUAAGCACCGGCUAACUCUGUGCCAGCAGCCGCGGUAUUACAGAGGGUGCGAGCGUUAAUCGGAUUUACUGGGCGUAAAGCGUGCGUAGGCAGCUUUUUAAGUCGGAUGUGAAAUCCCCGAGCUUAACGUGGGAAUUGCCUUCGAUACUGGGAAGCUCGAGUAUGGGAGAGGAUGGUAGAAUGCCCGGUGUGGCGGUGAAAUGCGUAGAGAUCAGGAGGAAUACCGAUGGCGAAGGCAGCCAUCUGGCCUAAUACUGACGCUGAGGUACGAAAGCAUGGGGAGCAAACAGG